Molecule: transfer RNA, 88 nt
Filed under: Undibacterium sp.
Lineage: Bacteria; Pseudomonadati; Pseudomonadota; Betaproteobacteria; Burkholderiales; Oxalobacteraceae
Description: tRNA-Ser
Rfam family: tRNA
About the family: Transfer RNA (tRNA) molecules are approximately 80 nucleotides in length.
Source: RNAcentral
GGAAGCGUGGCAGAGUGGCCGAUUGCACCGGUCUUGAAAACCGGCGAUGGGAAACUAUCCGUGAGUUCGAAUCUCACCGCUUCCGCCA